RNAcentral lists this ribosomal RNA (1134 nucleotides) under Staphylococcus aureus. Its description in RNAcentral is "partial 23S ribosomal RNA". It matches the Rfam family "Bacterial large subunit ribosomal RNA", at positions 257 to 1395 of the family's 2925-position model. The record is from RNAcentral. Lineage: Bacteria; Bacillati; Bacillota; Bacilli; Caryophanales; Staphylococcaceae.
AACGGGAAGAGCCCAAACCAACAAGCUUGCUUGUUGGGGUUGUAGGACACUCUAUACGGAGUUACAAAGGACGACAUUAGACGAAUCAUCUGGAAAGAUGAAUCAAAGAAGGUAAUAAUCCUGUAGUCGAAAAUGUUGUCUCUCUUGAGUGGAUCCUGAGUACGACGGAGCACGUGAAAUUCCGUCGGAAUCUGGGAGGACCAUCUCCUAAGGCUAAAUACUCUCUAGUGACCGAUAGUGAACCAGUACCGUGAGGGAAAGGUGAAAAGCACCCCGGAAGGGGAGUGAAAUAGAACCUGAAACCGUGUGCUUACAAGUAGUCAGAGCCCGUUAAUGGGUGAUGGCGUGCCUUUUGUAGAAUGAACCGGCGAGUUACGAUUUGAUGCAAGGUUAAGCAGUAAAUGUGGAGCCGUAGCGAAAGCGAGUCUGAAUAGGGCGUUUAGUAUUUGGUCGUAGACCCGAAACCAGGUGAUCUACCCUUGGUCAGGUUGAAGUUCAGGUAACACUGAAUGGAGGACCGAACCGACUUACGUUGAAAAGUGAGCGGAUGAACUGAGGGUAGCGGAGAAAUUCCAAUCGAACCUGGAGAUAGCUGGUUCUCUCCGAAAUAGCUUUAGGGCUAGCCUCAAGUGAUGAUUAUUGGAGGUAGAGCACUGUUUGGACGAGGGGCCCCUCUCGGGUUACCGAAUUCAGACAAACUCCGAAUGCCAAUUAAUUUAACUUGGGAGUCAGAACAUGGGUGAUAAGGUCCGUGUUCGAAAGGGAAACAGCCCAGACCACCAGCUAAGGUCCCAAAAUAUAUGUUAAGUGGAAAAGGAUGUGGCGUUGCCCAGACAACUAGGAUGUUGGCUUAGAAGCAGCCAUCAUUUAAAGAGUGCGUAAUAGCUCACUAGUCGAGUGACACUGCGCCGAAAAUGUACCGGGGCUAAACAUAUUACCGAAGCUGUGGAUUGUCCUUUGGACAAUGGUAGGAGAGCGUUCUAAGGGCGUUGAAGCAUGAUCGUAAGGACAUGUGGAGCGCUUAGAAGUGAGAAUGCCGGUGUGAGUAGCGAAAGACGGGUGAGAAUCCCGUCCACCGAUUGACUAAGGUUUCCAGAGGAAGGCUCGUCCGCUCUGGGUUAGUCGGGUCCUAAG